RNAcentral lists this ribosomal RNA (455 nucleotides) under uncultured bacterium. RNAcentral's name for it is "bacterial SSU rRNA". It matches the Rfam family "Bacterial small subunit ribosomal RNA", at positions 329 to 802 of the family's 1533-position model. The record is from RNAcentral.
AUCGUAACUCCUACGGGAGGCAGCAGUGGGGAAUUUUGGACAAUGGGGGCAACCCUGAUGCAGCGACGCCGCGUGAACGAAGAAGGUAUUCGUAUCGUAAAGUUCUGUCCUAUGGGAAGAUAAUGACAGUACCAUAGAAGAAAGCUCCGGCUAAAUACGUGCCAGCAGCCGCGGUAAUACGUAUGGAGCGAGCGUUGUCCGGAAUUAUUGGGCGUAAAGGGUACGCAGGCGGUUUAAUAAGUCGAAUGUUAAAGAUCGGGGCUCAACCCCGUAAAGCAUUGGAAACUGAUAAACUUGAGUAGUGGAGAGGAAAGUGGAAUUCCUAGUGUAGUGGUGAAAUACGUAGAUAUUAGGAGGAAUACCAGUAGCGAAGGCGACUUUCUGGGAACAAACUGACGCUGAGGUACGAAAGCGUGGGGAGCAAACAGGAUUAGAAGCCCUUGUAGUCCUAGAGC